UGAAGAGUUUGAUCAUGGCUCAGAUUGAACGCUGGCGGCAGGCCUAACACAUGCAAGUCGAACGGUAACAGGAAGCAGCUUGCUGCUUUGCUGACGAGUGGCGGACGGGUGAGUAAUGUCUGGGAAACUGCCUGAUGGAGGGGGAUAACUACUGGAAACGGUGGCUAAUACCGCAUAACGUCGCAAGACCAAAGAGGGGGACCUUCGGGCCUCUUGCCAUCAGAUGUGCCCAGAUGGGAUUAGCUUGUUGGUGAGGUAACGGCUCACCAAGGCGACGAUCCCUAGCUGGUCUGAGAGGAUGACCAGCCACACUGGAACUGAGACACGGUCCAGACUCCUACGGGAGGCAGCAGUGGGGAAUAUUGCACAAUGGGCGCAAGCCUGAUGCAGCCAUGCCGCGUGUAUGAAGAAGGCCUUCGGGUUGUAAAGUACUUUCAGCGGGGAGGAAGGUGUUGUGGUUAAUAACCGCAGCAAUUGACGUUACCCGCAGAAGAAGCACCGGCUAACUCCGUGCCAGCAGCCGCGGUAAUACGGAGGGUGCAAGCGUUAAUCGGAAUUACUGGGCGUAAAGCGCACGCAGGCGGUCUGUCAAGUCGGAUGUGAAAUCCCCGGGCUCAACCUGGGAACUGCAUUCGAAACUGGCAGGCUUGAGUCUUGUAGAGGGGGGUAGAAUUCCAGGUGUAGCGGUGAAAUGCGUAGAGAUCUGGAGGAAUACCGGUGGCGAAGGCGGCCCCCUGGACAAAGACUGACGCUCAGGUGCGAAAGCGUGGGGAGCAAACAGGAUUAGAUACCCUGGUAGUCCACGCCGUAAACGAUGUCUACUUGGAGGUUGUGCCCUUGAGGCGUGGCUUCCGGAGCUAACGCGUUAAGUAGACCGCCUGGGGAGUACGGCCGCAAGGUUAAAACUCAAAUGAAUUGACGGGGGCCCGCACAAGCGGUGGAGCAUGUGGUUUAAUUCGAUGCAACGCGAAGAACCUUACCUGGUCUUGACAUCCACAGAACUUUCCAGAGAUGGAUUGGUGCCUUCGGGAACUGUGAGACAGGUGCUGCAUGGCUGUCGUCAGCUCGUGUUGUGAAAUGUUGGGUUAAGUCCCGCAACGAGCGCAACCCUUAUCCUUUGUUGCCAGCGGUCCGGCCGGGAACUCAAAGGAGACUGCCAGUGAUAAACUGGAGGAAGGUGGGGAUGACGUCAAGUCAUCAUGGCCCUUACGACCAGGGCUACACACGUGCUACAAUGGCGCAUACAAAGAGAAGCGACCUCGCGAGAGCAAGCGGACCUCAUAAAGUGCGUCGUAGUCCGGAUUGGAGUCUGCAACUCGACUCCAUGAAGUCGGAAUCGCUAGUAAUCGUGGAUCAGAAUGCCACGGUGAAUACGUUCCCGGGCCUUGUACACACCGCCCGUCACACCAUGGGAGUGGGUUGCAAAAGAAGUAGGUAGCUUAACCUUCGGGAGGGCGCUUACCACUUUGUGAUUCAUGACUGGGGUGAAGUCGUAACAAGGUAACCGUAGGGGAACCUGC
This 1520-nucleotide ribosomal RNA is filed under the name Salmonella enterica subsp. enterica serovar Infantis. RNAcentral describes it as "bacterial SSU rRNA". It matches the Rfam family "Bacterial small subunit ribosomal RNA". RNAcentral also lists the same sequence under 8 other names. Lineage: Bacteria; Pseudomonadati; Pseudomonadota; Gammaproteobacteria; Enterobacterales; Enterobacteriaceae. The record is from RNAcentral.